RNAcentral lists this ribosomal RNA (497 nucleotides) under uncultured bacterium. RNAcentral describes it as "partial 16S ribosomal RNA". It matches the Rfam family "Bacterial small subunit ribosomal RNA", at positions 28 to 507 of the family's 1533-position model. The record is from RNAcentral.
GAUGAACGCUGGCGGCGUGCCUAAUACAUGCAAGUCGAGCGAACGGACGAGAAGCUUGCUUCUCUGAUGUUAGCGGCGGACGGGUGAGUAACACGUGGAUAACCUACCUAUAAGACUGGGAUAACUUCGGGAAACCGGAGCUAAUACCGGAUAAUAUUUUGAACCGCAUGGUUCAAAAGUAAAAGACGGUCUUGCUGUCACUUAUAGAUGGAUCCGCGCUGCAUUAGCUAGUUGGUAAGGUAACGGCUUACCAAGGCAACGAUGCAUAGCCGACCUGAGAGGGUGAUCGGCCACACUGGAACUGAGACACGGUCCAGACUCCUACGGGAGGCAGCAGUAGGGAAUCUUCCGCAAUGGGCGAAAGCCUGACGGAGCAACGCCGCGUGAGUGAUGAAGGUCUUCGGAUCGUAAAACUCUGUUAUUAGGGAAGAACAUAUGUGUAAGUAACUGUGCACAUCUUGACGGUACCUAAUCAGAAGGCCACGGCUAACUACGUG